Molecule: unclassified non-coding RNA, 208 nt
Filed under: Hevea brasiliensis (rubber tree)
Lineage: Eukaryota; Viridiplantae; Streptophyta; Magnoliopsida; Malpighiales; Euphorbiaceae
Source: RNAcentral
CUCAGCACAUGCUCAAUGGAAGACUUGUCUAAAUCCAAGAAUAAUAAUUUUCUAAUAUACUGAAAUAGUGGGGGGCGGACUUUAGACACUCGUGCUGAUCUUUCAGGUGGUUUGCAAAGAUAGUAAGCAUUUUCUACAAGUGUGCUAUGCCGGGGAUCCAAAUUUUUGACAUUUUUCAGGCGCAUCAAUAUCUCUAACAUAUUAGCCA